This 558-nucleotide ribosomal RNA is filed under the name Lamiomimus gottschei. RNAcentral's name for it is "SSU rRNA". It matches the Rfam family "Eukaryotic small subunit ribosomal RNA", at positions 623 to 1144 of the family's 1831-position model. Lineage: Eukaryota; Metazoa; Arthropoda; Insecta; Coleoptera; Cerambycidae. The record is from RNAcentral.
AAAGCUCGUAGUCGAAUCUGUGUCCCGCGUCGCCGGUUCAUCGUCCGCGGUGUUAACUGGCGUACCGCGGGACGUCCUGCCGGUGGGCUCAGCCCGCGAGGGGGCCCGACUCAAUCCCGCCGCGGUGCUCUUCAUUGAGUGUCGAGGUGGGCCGGCACGUUUACUUUGAACAAAUUAGAGUGCUUAAAGCAGGCCAAAACUUCGCCUGAAUACUGUGUGCAUGGAAUAAUGGAAUAGGACCUCGGUUCUAUUUUGUUGGUUUUCGGAACCCCGAGGUAAUGAUUAAUAGGAACGGAUGGGGGCAUUCGUAUUGCGACGUUAGAGGUGAAAUUCUUGGAUCGUCGCAAGACGGACGGAAGCGAAAGCAUUUGCCAAAAACGCUUUCAUUGAUCAAGAACGAAAGUUAGAGGUUCGAAGGCGAUCAGAUACCGCCCUAGUUCUAACCAUAAACGAUGCCAGCUAGCGAUCCGCCGACGUUCCUCCGAUGACUCGGCGGGCAGCUUCCGGGAAACCAAAGCUUUUGGGUUCCGGGGGAAGUAUGGUUGCAAAGCUGAAACU